This 287-nucleotide long non-coding RNA is filed under the name Olea europaea (common olive). Its description in RNAcentral is "long non-coding RNA (OEUR_LNC001839)". The record is from RNAcentral. Lineage: Eukaryota; Viridiplantae; Streptophyta; Magnoliopsida; Lamiales; Oleaceae.
CAUGUUUACCUUAAGCCAAUGCAACCAAGUCCCAAGUGUCUUUCUUAUAUAGAGCAGUAUCCAUAGUCUAUUGCCAAAGAGGAUCCAAAAUAGCUUCUUUGUAGGAAAAUGGUUUAGAUAACUUGUGAAUGAAGAUUAAAAAGCAACAAAAAGAGUCAUAAUAACAAGAAUAAGCAAAAUCAGGUAACUGAGUGGAUUUACGAAUACGUUGAGGAUAUUGAGGAAGAGAUGGAGCAAGAACUGAAUCAACAAUCUCGAGUGGUACUUAGGAAGCCAUAGAAGGAGGA